AUGGAAACGCGCGGAUUCACUCGGUUAUUGGAACCGUCAUUUUUAUUUGAUAUUUUAAUUUGUAAUGAAUUUUUAUUUAUUUUGUAUUAACUUUGCGGAAAAUCCGCUGAAAUGGAAGAUUUUACGAGCUCACAAUUACAACUGGUUUUAGGAGUAAAAGAAGGUUGCAAUUUUGAUAGGGUGCAGAAACCAACUGUCAUUAUUGCUACUCUAAAUGGACAAUGUAUCGAAACUAAAAAGAUUCAACCUGAUUGCAACCCACAAUUUUGCACAGAUUUAAUUUGGGAAACCGAUAAAAAUGGGUUUAGACGGAUGAGAAGUAAUCAAACCCCCAUAAAAGUUGAAUGUUAUGCUAUAAAUGAAAAUGGUAGUAGAGAAAAACUUGGGUACAUUUUAUUGAGUGUACGAUGUGCCCAGAUUAUUCAACCCAAUGGAGAAUCUAACAUAAAAACAAAUUGGCACAAUAUUUUAGGAGUCAAAAAUGAUUUCAACAAUUGCAAACCUAGACUAUUAAUGUACUUGAUCAUUAGAGAAAAAGAAAAUAAAAAUGCAAUUAUUCCAAAGGUUGACAACUUCAGCAAUUUACAUCCACUCAAAUCAAAUAUUGUACCUUUGUGGUUGCCAGAUGAGCAUUUGAUUCAACUAGGUCCAUUAGAAUUGUGUCAAGAUGUAUUUCAAUUAUAUAUUGCCACACAUGCAUUAACACAUCUAACUUCUUUUUUUGAUGAGUUUCCUAAAAGUGAAAAUAACAAUUUUGUUAUUGUUUUAAAUAUUUUGGGUACCUUUAUUCGCCUUAAACCUUUUAAAAUGGAGUCUGAUAACAUAUCUAUCAAUGAAAAAAUUGUUAUUAAAAUAAGAACUUCAUUACCUGUUUUAAGAGAUUAUUUACUGACUAGACCACAUUUUAUAGUCAAAUUAAAGCAUGAAAAUGUAACAAUUGGUAUUUCGGAAGUGAAUUUAAAAUCAUUAAUUAAAGUGGAUGAUUUACAAUGUUUUAUAGAAAUGGAAAGCAAUUAUGUACCAGUAGAGUUUAAUUGUAUUUUUAAACAUGUGUGUUCAAAAGGAGGUAAAGGAGAUUGUCAAGGAGGUGAUGAAUUUACAACAAUGCCUUGUUUGAGCAUUUCUGUUAAAUUAAAAUACUUCCAGUUAAAAAAGGUUUUUAAUGGAAAAACAUUUCAUCCUCUUUCACCUUCUGUAAGACAAAGCAAAAGUAAUGUAGCACAAAUUUCAAAUCACAAUAGCUGUUCAAAUGGAUCCACAUCUAAUGAACACUCAGAACUUAACCCAAAUCAAAAAAGUAAUAGAAACAUUGAUAAAAUCGAUCACAAGAUGUGUUCCGUCCCAAGAGAAAAAUUAUAUACUCUAGACAAUGGCAAUAAUACAGCUGAAGCACAAAAUAUUCACAGAAGUUACAGUUUAAAAAUAACUUUGAAAAAUAUUACAUUUCUAUUUUCAAAAAAUGAUGUGCAAAUCGUGGAGUUCAGAUUUUAUAACUCAUUGGGUGAAAUUAUAAAUAAUGCUGUUAGUCACGUUGAUGGGAUUUCAGCUGAUAAAGCAAUAAAUCUUAAAGAUAUAAAUUGUAAACUUCAUUUCAUUUGUACUCCUGAUCAAAUAUUCAAAUUGCUAGAUACAUUUGCUCCAAAAAUCAAUGUAUGCGAUGCAACUGCAAUUGAAACUAAAUGUCUUGCUCAAGUGGAAAUAAACUUUCAACAACUUUUGGACAACAAAAAAAUUGAAUGCACUGAAUUGGUUCAUUUAGUAGAUUGUAGUACUCAUGAAAAAAUUGGCAAUGGAUCUGUACAUAUUCAGCUUGAAGAUCACACUAUGACAGCAUUGAAAAAAGUCAACACAGGAAAUUUUGAAGAUAUACUAAAUAAUAGUAUGGCUUAUAAAAUUAUUGAUGAACUAGAAACUUGGAAAGAAAGGCAAAAAGAUAUAUUUAAAAAUGAGUUACGUAAAAAAGAAGAAGCACAUUUUACCUUAUUGAACGAAGAAUGGCGACGACGCAAGGAAUACUUGGAGUCCAAAUUAACUAACAGUAUGCAACAGUGUAAAAUUUUGGCCAAUGAUUUAACUAAAACGACAGAAGAUUUGCGUGCGCGAAAAAUAGAAAGUUUAGAAAAAGAAUCUAAAUUAAUUCAAGCUAAUGAUGAAUUGCAAUGGAAAUACGAUCGCAAACUACAACAGCUUCAAGAGGCAUUGCAGAAAAUGCAAGAAGAGUUUACAUCAAAACUAAUGAAAUUGGAACAUGAAAAUCGAAAUUUACUCUCUCAAAUCGAAAAUUUGACAGUAAAAAAUCUCGAGCUUGAAAAAUUCAAAAGAAGACAAACCGAAAACGUAAGUACAAUGGAAAAAUCUUCAUUAACAGAAGAGCGAACCAAUUCGGUCCUGCAGCAAUUGAAAAAUCUUGAGGAAAAGUUAGACAAUGCUCAAAAGAAUAAUGACUACUUCAAAGAAAAAUGGAACCAAGCGAAGAAAGAGAUUCACAACAUAAAAAUUCAAAAUCAAUUAGCACUGGAAUCAGAAAUAAAAAGUAGCAGGCAGGAAUUACAUAAUACAACUUUAGAUUUAGAAGAAUUAUUAAAUGCAGACACAGCUGCAUUGAAACAUGAUAAAAUGGCAUUAAUUAAUAUACAACAAGAAAUUAACAACUUAAACUCAGAAUCGCAGUUGCAGAUCCUAGAAACGAAGGCCAAUAAAGAUCACCAACAUUUAUUCGAGUCUGCUAUGAUGAAUCCAGAUUUUCAUCUAAACUUGGAUGGAGUGAACUUUUCAAACUCGGAUUCGGCGUCAACGAGUACAAGUUCUGAUCAAAAAUUACGCAUGCUCAUAAAACAACGCGAUAAUCUCGUGAAUUCUGGAAAUUAUUCUAGCAACAACAGUAUUAUAGUGAAAUUAAGUAGUGACAUAAGGUCUAUGCUUAUAAAUAGUUAACGUAAAUUAUUUUGUAUGAGUAAAUUUUCUACAUGGCUUCGACUCGACUGAUCAUUACCGGCUGAUACCUGGCAAGUGGUAAAUUAUGUUAAUCUACUUUGACUUUGUAAAAAAAUGGCACGAUAUCCAACGAGACUUUGUAAUCUAGAGUUAUAGGACCAACCC
Molecule: unclassified non-coding RNA, 3099 nt
Filed under: Trichogramma pretiosum
Lineage: Eukaryota; Metazoa; Arthropoda; Insecta; Hymenoptera; Trichogrammatidae
Description: centrosomal protein of 120 kDa-like, transcript variant X2
Source: RNAcentral